GCCGCCAUAGCUUGGUUGGGAGAGCAUCAGACUGAAGUUCUGAAGGACCUGCGUUUGAUCUGCAGAGACGGCA
This 73-nucleotide transfer RNA is filed under the name Basidiobolus meristosporus CBS 931.73. It matches the Rfam family "tRNA". Rfam says of the family: Transfer RNA (tRNA) molecules are approximately 80 nucleotides in length. Their secondary structure includes four short double-helical elements and three loops (D, anti-codon, and T loops). Further hydrogen bonds mediate the characteristic L-shaped molecular structure. tRNAs have two regions of fundamental functional importance: the anti-codon, which is responsible for specific mRNA codon recognition, and the 3' end, to which the tRNAs corresponding amino acid is attached (by aminoacyl-tRNA synthetases). tRNAs cope with the degeneracy of the genetic code in two manners: having more than one tRNA (with a specific anti-codon) for a particular amino acid; and 'wobble' base-pairing, i.e. permitting non-standard base-pairing at the 3rd anti-codon position. The record is from Rfam by way of RNAcentral. Lineage: Eukaryota; Fungi; Basidiobolomycota; Basidiobolomycetes; Basidiobolales; Basidiobolaceae.